CGCCGAGCUGUUGCUGUCGCCCUUAUCCUUGAAGUAGGGCACACUCUUCACCAUCCACUCGUAGAUCUGCGACAGGGUGAGCCUCUUCUCCGCCGAGCUCUCGAUGGCCUUGGUGAUGAGGUCGGCGUACGACAGGUUGCCCCACGCGUUGCGGCGCGACGAACUGGUCUUGCGCGGCUGCCCAGCGAGUGGCCCCGCGGCGGCUGGAGGCACCGGUGGGGGCUGCGACAGCGGCCCGGUCGGUGGGGGCUGCGGCGGCGCCGAGUGCACGCAGCCCGCCUCCGGGCCCUGGAAGUCCCCGCACAGGCCCCUACUGGCGGCAGCUGCGGCCG
Molecule: long non-coding RNA, 332 nt
Filed under: Rattus norvegicus (Norway rat)
Lineage: Eukaryota; Metazoa; Chordata; Mammalia; Rodentia; Muridae
Description: long non-coding RNA NONRATT016391
Source: RNAcentral